Molecule: ribosomal RNA, 468 nt
Filed under: uncultured bacterium
Lineage: Bacteria
Description: partial 16S ribosomal RNA
Rfam family: Bacterial small subunit ribosomal RNA
Source: RNAcentral
GACGAACGCUGGCGGCGUGCUUAACACAUGCAAGUCGAACGGAAAGGCCCUGCUUCUGUGGGGGGCUCGAGUGGCGAACGGGUGAGUCACACGUGAGUAACCUGCCCUUGACUAUGGGAUAACUUCAGGAAACGGGGGCUAAUACCGGAUAGGAGAUCCGGCAGCAUGGGGGGGGUGGGAAAGUUUCGGCGGUGGGGGAUGGACGCGCGGCUUGUCAGCUUGUUGGUGGGGGUGGGGUUUACCAAGGCUUUGACGGGUAGCCGGGCCGGGGGGGUGACCGGCCACAGUGGGACUGGGAUACGGCCCCGACUCCUACGGGAGGCAGCGGUGGCGAUUAUUGCACUAUGGGCGGAAGCCUGAUGCUGCAACGCCCCUUCCGGGAUAGCGGCCUUCGGGUUGUAGUCCUCUUGCGCCUGUGACGAAGCGUGUGUGACGGUAAUGGGUAAAGAAGCACCGGCUAACUACGUG